CGCGGCCUAUCAGCUUGUUGGUGAGGUAACGGCUCACCAAGGCAUUGACGGGUAGCUAGUCUGAGAGGACGAAUAGCCACACUGGGACUGAGACACGGCCCAGACUCCUACGGGAGGCAGCAGUGGGGAAUCUUGCACAAUGGGCGAAAGCCUGAUGCAGCGACGCCGCGUGGGGGAUGAAGGCCCUAGGGUCGUAAACCCCUUUCAGUGGGGACGAAAAUGACGGUACCCACAGAAGAAGGUCCGGCCAACUACGUGCCAGCAGCCGCGGUAAGACGUAGGGACCGAGCGUUGUCCGGAUUUAUUGGGCGUAAAGAGCUCGUAGGCGGUUGCGUAAGUCGGAUGUGAAAACUCGGGGCUCAACCCCGAGACGCCAUCCGAUACUGCGCUGACUUGAAUCCAGUAGGGGAGUGUGGAAUUUGUUGUGUAGCGGUGAAAUGCGCAGAUAUAACAAGGAACACCUAUGGCGAAGGCAGCACUCUGGGCUGGUAUUGACGCUGAGGAGCGAAAGCAUGGGUAGCAAACAGGAUUAGAUACCCUGGUAGUCCAUGCCGUAAACGGUGGGCACUAGGUGUGGGGACUUUCAACGGUUUCCGUGCCGAAGCUAACGCAUUAAGUGCCCCGCCUGGGGAGUACGG
This 638-nucleotide ribosomal RNA is filed under the name uncultured Actinomycetes bacterium. RNAcentral's name for it is "bacterial SSU rRNA". It matches the Rfam family "Bacterial small subunit ribosomal RNA", at positions 232 to 885 of the family's 1533-position model. Lineage: Bacteria; Bacillati; Actinomycetota; Actinomycetes. The record is from RNAcentral.